Molecule: ribosomal RNA, 548 nt
Filed under: uncultured eukaryote
Lineage: Eukaryota
Description: SSU rRNA
Rfam family: Eukaryotic small subunit ribosomal RNA
Source: RNAcentral
UGUAGUCAUAUGCUUGUCUCAAAGAUUAAGCCAUGCAUGUCUAAGUAUAAGCAAUCUAUACAGUGAAACUGCGUAUGGCUCAUUAAAUCAGUUAUCGUUUAUUUGAUAGUACCUUGCUACUUGGAUAACCGUGGUAAUUCUAGAGCUAAUACAUGCUAAAAACCUCGACUUCGGAAGGGGUGUAUUUAUUAGAUAAAAAACCAAUGCCCUUCGGGGCUCCUUGGUGAUUCAUGAUAACUUAACGAAUCGCAUGGCCUUGUGCCGGCGAUGGUUCAUUCAAAUUUCUGCCCUAUCAACUUUCGAUGGUAGGAUAGUGGCCUACCAUGGUUUCAACGGGUAACGGGGAAUUAGGGUUCUAUUCCGGAGAGGGAGCCUGAGAAACGGCUACCACAUCCAAGGAAGGCAGCAGGCGCGCAAAUUACCCAAUCCCGACACGGGGAGGUAGUGACAAUAAAUACUGAUACAGGGCUCUUUUGGGUCUUGUAAUUGGAAUGAGUACAAUUUAAAUCCCUUAACGAGGAACAAUUGGAGGGCAAGUCUGGUAAUCG